UGGCGGACGGGUGAGGAAUACAUCGGAAUCUACUCUGUCGUGGGGGAUAACGUAGGGAAACUUACGCUAAUACCGCAUACGACCUACGGGUGAAAGCAGGGGAUCUUCGGACCUUGCGCGAUUGAAUGAGCCGAUGUCGGAUUAGCUAGUUGGCGGGGUAAAGGCCCACCAAGGCGACGAUCCGUAGCUGGUCUGAGAGGAUGAUCAGUCACACUGGAACUGAGACACGGUCCAGACUCCUACGGGAGGCAGCAGUC
RNAcentral lists this ribosomal RNA (257 nucleotides) under uncultured Stenotrophomonas sp. RNAcentral's name for it is "partial 16S ribosomal RNA". It matches the Rfam family "Bacterial small subunit ribosomal RNA", at positions 96 to 355 of the family's 1533-position model. Lineage: Bacteria; Pseudomonadati; Pseudomonadota; Gammaproteobacteria; Lysobacterales; Lysobacteraceae. The record is from RNAcentral.